CGUCAGCUCGUGUCGUGAGAUGUUGGGUUAAGUCCCGCAACGAGCGCAACCCCUAUUGUAUGUUGCUACCAUUAAAGUUGAGGACUCAUACGAGACUGCCGGUGACAAACCGGAGGAAGGUGGGAUGACGUCAAGUCAUCAUGCCCCUUAUGAUCUGGGCUACACACGUGCUACAAUGGGGCAUACAGAGGGUCGCGAAGCCGCGAGGUGGAGCCAAUCCCAAAAAGUGCCUCUCAGUUCGGAUUGCAGGCUGCAACUCGCCUGCAUGAAGUCGGAAUCGCUAGUAAUCGCAGGUCAGCAUACUGCGGUGAAUACGUUCCCGGGUCUU
Molecule: ribosomal RNA, 328 nt
Filed under: uncultured Eubacteriales bacterium
Lineage: Bacteria; Bacillati; Bacillota; Clostridia; Eubacteriales
Description: bacterial SSU rRNA
Rfam family: Bacterial small subunit ribosomal RNA
Source: RNAcentral